This is a long non-coding RNA of Spinacia oleracea (spinach), 3500 nucleotides long. RefSeq lists it as uncharacterized. The transcript is spliced from 4 exons. NCBI's taxonomy places the organism in Eukaryota, Viridiplantae, Streptophyta, Magnoliopsida, Caryophyllales, Amaranthaceae. The record is from RefSeq and is a predicted model, not a curated record.
AUUAGCCUCGUGUUUUUUCGACCCUCAUAUAUAUCUUGGACUCUAGACCACUCCAAGGACUCGGAGUUGGUAUCAUUCGUGAGACAGUUGGAGUCUUCUAUUCGUGCAGCUGCUUUACAUCUAGAAGACCUCGAUUGUUCUGUGAUAGAAGUUUCAUUGCUUUCUUUUUCGCUUGGGCUUCCAGCGUACUAUGUACUUGCUUCCUCUGAGUAUUCAUCCAACUUAUCACGUUAUGACGGUGUUUGGUGAGCUUCCUACCACAAUUGCCAUUCACGGUUGGCUAAGGAAAAUGGUUUCUGAAAAAUCUUCUAUGUCAAUUGCAUUUUUCGUUUUAUUGAAUUCUGGGUUUAUAGAAUCUGGGUACGAAUUGCAUAUUGUGAUCCAGUUUCAGCUCAAUUAGCUCGUGAUUUAGUAUCUGGUAUGUUAAUUGUAGUUGCACCUACGAUUUUAAUGCUUUCUGGGUUUAGGGUUAAGAUUGGGUUGUCUUGUGUGAUCGAAUGUCAACUUAGCACCGUUCAUGAUUUAGUAUGUAGUAUGUGGUGGUUGAAAUAUGCUAUGUCAAUUGCACCUUCGAUUUUGUUGAAUUAUGGGUUUAGUGAUAUCUGGGCUUAGGGUUUAGAUUGAGGUUGGUCUUGUUUAGCCUUUCCUUCAAAAUUAUCGAUCUAAGUGUGGGUGCUUAGUAUAUUGUAGGAGUACGUGUUUGGGUGAUAUAUCGAUGUUCGUUAGUUUGAUCCCUCAUAGUGUUUGGGUGUAGGCAACUGAUUUCAUCUCCCUCGAAUCGUUUCUUGCUUGUCGGACUAACAUCUGCUUGAUACAUCGAGUCUUUCUUUCACGGUGGCGGUGUUGUGAUAUCUUCUCUUGUAUCAGUAAAUUGUGACUACCAUUGGUUCAUUCUUACGCAUUGGUUAUUCCCUCAAUUUCAAACAUUAAUAUGGCUUGGGUUUGUGGUGUCCUAUUCUGUAUAAAAUAUAGAUGUAGAACAGUGAUCACCCCAGGCAUUCAAGUUAUCCUUUAGCCUUCAUUUCUUUUAGUUUUGAAAUAUUUAGUUUCUCCCUUCAUUUCAUCAAUUCUAGGGUUUCGAAUUUUAUGAUACUGCUAUUUUGGUUGCAAUUGACGAAUUUUGUAUACUAGGGUUUUUAUUUGCUAAAUUGGUCGAAUUAUUUGAGGGGUUAAUUGUUAAUUUUAUCCCGUUUGGUGGUGCCUUGCCACGUUCAUAUAGACAAGCUUUCCUUCAAUAUCUAUUUUCCCUCUUCUCUUAACUACAAUUCCACCUGAUUUGCUACUCUAGGUCGCUCGAAUGUUAGGAAAUCUUCUCUUCUUAAUACUUUGUAGUCUAGUUGGGAAGAAAGAGGGUCGGGUUUUUUUCUUUGCUUGUUUUCACUCUUGCCCACCGCCUGUUUGUUUAAAUUCCUCAAUGAGAGACAUUUUUUGUUGAAAAGAAAAAAGUUUAAUGAACGUUAUGUAGAAGACAAUCAUUGUUGAUAAUGUCAAGUUGAGCAUAGCUUCUUGUUGAAAAAAUGGGUUUGGAUGGUAACUGUGGAAUGUGGAUUGAAUUCAUGUUCCUGUUUCAUUCUUGGCUACAGAAGAGUGCAGUAUACUAAUAGCAAUUGGUAACAAAAAAAUGUGAUUGAUGCGCAGGGAAAGCAUACACUAUGGUUGAUAACGGAGUGUCAUCAGGUAGCAAUAAGCACCUUCGUGCUGCUAAGCAUGAGCAUGUUGUUUCUAAUCGUCAACAUUUUAUGACUACUCUUGAGAACCUUCAUGUUGCUAAGUCCACUAAGUUCAUGUAACCUGUCUUUCUAACUUUGUAUCAUGUAUUUGCAUCUGACAACCUUAUACUAUCUUCCAAUCAACCUUAUUAUUACUGGAUUCCCAUUAUAGGAGGCCGAGAUCUUGACCGGCCUGCACAAGCUUUUUGUCGAGGUUACUUAUCGGGAUGGUAUUGACAAGGUGCAUUUUAAUCAUCUAAUUACACUCCUUCCUUCCCCAUGUUACUGUCCUGAUUACCUUCUAGCUUAGCUCAUGUGCUUUAGUAGCUAAACUAUGUAUGUGUGAUUAUGUGAAAACAUUUGUUGAUUUCGAUGUUGCUUCUGAGCUCCUGAGUAGUUGAACACACGCAAGGCUAUCCAACUGAAGCUCCAGGUGGGUAAUUUGGAGAUCCCAGGCGAACAGGUUCAAAACUCAAACAGAAAGGUGAUCAAGGUUCUCUAUGGGGAUGAUCUGGAAACUGGAGUUUUCGGUAGAGGCUUUUCGAAAUUCUAUGAUCAAGGUUGUUCGACCUCUGACGAGGAUUAUGUGAAAUCGGGAGGGAACUUGGACAAUUUACCUAGGCUUGCUUGUUUCGUUCUUUGGACAACAGUAAAAAUUUAUUUGCAAAAGUGUUGAAGCAUCACGCACUUACUCCUCUAUAUAUACAUGUGCAUUGUAUUGAAGCAUCUAUUACUAAGGCUUUACUUCCACAAUCAAAAGCUAACAGAAAAUCUCUUGGUCUGUCGGAUUCUUCUUCAUUCUUCCUGUAUGUUCUGCUGUUUGUCUGUUUCUACUAUAAAUCUGUGACUUAUUUGUAUAUAUUCUUAUCAUGUUUUCUAGCACAUUUAAUGCUCUUCAUAUUUAUUUUACACCAAUAUCUGCUAAUUGAAUUUUGGUUAUAAAGUGUUUGUUAUAAAUCGGUCAGCAUCUUAGUGUAGAUUCUUAUAUUGUUUGCUAGCACAUUUAAUGCUCUGCCUAUUUAAUCCAAGCCAAAAAUCUACUACUUUCUUUUGGUAUAAAUUGUCCAACCUUGGUAGUUUUUUUAAAAAUUCAGUCAUAUUUCAGAAUGACAUGAUUCUUCUUUUUAAACCACGAUUUUUGUUUAUGCUUCCCUUCACUGAUAUUUUGCAUCUGACUUUGUGAAGGUACAAAGUGAAGGUUAAAGUCAAGGUUAAAGUCAUAGAAAAAAGCCGAGCUAAGGUGUCUCCGAAGAAGGGAAUUAUGUACCAGUCACUACUUCUCGAAGAUGAUAAGGGUAACAAAAUGUGAGGCGCACUGUUGGGGGAUCAAGUUGAUGGGUACAAGGAUGCGUUUGCAUGUAAGGGAGAGUAUGAGAUAGCUAAUGCGCCAAUUAAGGCCCUAGAUGAAAGGUGGAAAAUGAGUCCGUGGAUGCUGAAGCAGGGUCUGUGAUGCCAAACUACCAGUGCCUAGCCUCAAUUCCAAGAGCUGUAAACCAUGGCGACAAGUUUGAUAAUUAUACUUCACUUUGUCUCAAAUCCCUUAGAUCAUGCUCAGUACACUAGCCUAAACUGCUACAAAGCUUGUUUUAUUUCUGGCCAGACAAUCUUUCAUGCUUAGUCUCACAUUUGAUACCAUGUUUAUAACCUGCCAUAUUAUAUAAUUUGUCUUUGACCUUGUAUAUAUAGCAUGUAACUACAUGUAGACACCUACUUUUGUCCCAAUUCCCGAAAGGGAAGGUUCGAUGAUGAGAACAUAAAUCUCCACUUGGCAACGCAUCUCCUAUAAAAUAA